This 370-nucleotide ribosomal RNA is filed under the name Nibea soldado (soldier croaker). RNAcentral's name for it is "partial 12S ribosomal RNA". It matches the Rfam family "Bacterial small subunit ribosomal RNA", at positions 966 to 1533 of the family's 1533-position model. The record is from RNAcentral. Lineage: Eukaryota; Metazoa; Chordata; Actinopteri; Sciaenidae.
UCACCCUUUCCUUGUCUCUUCCGCCUAUAUACCGCCGUCCGUCCAGCUUACCUUGUGAAAGACUAAUAGUAAGCGAAAUUGGUACAGCCCUAAACGCAAGGUCGAGGUGUAGCGUAUGGAAGGGGAAGAAAUGGGCUACAUUCUCUAGUAUAGAGAACACGGAUGACGUGUUGAAACACACGCCUGAAGGAGGAUUUAGCAGUAAGCAGGAAGUAGAGUGUCCCGCUGAAGUUGGCCCUGAAGCGCGCACACACCGCCCGUCACCCUCCCCGAGACUAAUCAAGCCCAAUAAAUAAAACCCUAUAAUAGUAAAGAGGAGGCAAGUCGUAACAUGGUAAGUGUACCGGAAGGUGCACUUGGAAUAAACAAU